UAGUAGUAGUAGUAGUAAGGGUAGUCAUAUAGUAGUAGUAGUAGUAGUAGUAGUAGUAGUAGUAGUAAGUAUCAUAUAGUAGUAGUAGUAGUAAUUAGGAUGAUCAGAGUGAACUGUUAAUAUUUUGUUCAACAAUCUUUUUUUUUUUUUUUCAUUUAAUCCUGCCUUUCAGAAUCUAAAUAAGGUAUUUACAUGUCUCCCAGAAGACAAAAUACUAACAAUUUACACUGAUCAUCCUUUUCAAAAGUUUACACUCCCCUGGCUCUUAAUGUAUCGUGUUGCAUUUUUGAGCAUCAGUGAGCGUUUGCACCUUUUCUUAAUAGUCAUGUACGAGUCCCUCAUAGAUAUCUCCCAGUUUUGAACCAAAAUUGACUCAAAAUCACAUCCGUUGUGUAUCCUCCCAUGUGCUGCCUUCUAAUAGUGCUUGCUCUUGCGUGACUGAACAUGGCGGAGGCUAUGCUAGUGCACGGUUAGUAUUGAAAAGUUCUGUGAGACAAAAAACAGCUGAGUAAGUCGGAUAGUCACAUUGGAUUUUUCCCACUCAUCCGUCCUGUCUAUGCUCUUGUACGCAUACACAGAGGCACCCUACUGCCCGCUAGUUCAUGCUGGUGCCUGCUGACUGAAGAAAUGAUGCAGCUUUAAAAAGGAAAAAAAAAAGAGAAAGCACUUCAUUGGAAGCUGAUUUGUCCCCAUCACCUCGGCUGUUCUGUCCUGCUUUCCUCCAGCGGGAAUGACUGAAGCUGGAAGGAAGCCAGUUGCCGAUCCUGUACUCUAUUUAAAGACAAUACCGAGCUAUAGGAAGGACGGGAUAAUGUUAGCAUCUCG
Ictalurus punctatus (channel catfish) is the source of this 825-nucleotide long non-coding RNA. Lineage: Eukaryota; Metazoa; Chordata; Actinopteri; Siluriformes; Ictaluridae. The record is from Ensembl.